GAUGAACGCUAGCGAUAGGCUUAACACAUGCAAGUCGAGGGGCAGCAUUAUUUUAGCUUGCUAAGAUAGAUGGCGACCGGCGCACGGGUGCGUAACGCGUAUGCAACCUGCCUGUAAUUAGGGAAUAACCCGGUGAAAGUCGGACUAAUACCCUAUAUUCUUCUUUCUCCGCAUGGGGGAGGACGGAAAGAUUUAUUGAUUACAGAUGGGCAUGCGUCCCAUUAGCUGGUUGGUAAGGUAACGGCUUACCAAGGCAACGAUGGGUAGGGGGACUGAGAGGUUGACCCCCCACACUGGUACUGAGACACGGACCAGACUCCUACGGGAGGCAGCAGUGAGGAAUAUUGGUCAAUGGGCGAGAGCCUGAACCAGCCAAGUCGCGUGAAGGACGACGGUUCUAUGGAUUGUAAACUUCUUUUGUAGAGGAA
RNAcentral lists this ribosomal RNA (428 nucleotides) under Porphyromonas endodontalis. Its description in RNAcentral is "bacterial SSU rRNA". It matches the Rfam family "Bacterial small subunit ribosomal RNA", at positions 28 to 446 of the family's 1533-position model. Lineage: Bacteria; Pseudomonadati; Bacteroidota; Bacteroidia; Bacteroidales; Porphyromonadaceae. The record is from RNAcentral.